RNAcentral lists this ribosomal RNA (522 nucleotides) under uncultured bacterium. Its description in RNAcentral is "bacterial SSU rRNA". It matches the Rfam family "Bacterial small subunit ribosomal RNA", at positions 224 to 743 of the family's 1533-position model. The record is from RNAcentral.
GAUGAGCAUGCGUCCCAUUAGCUAGUUGGUAAGGUAACGGCUUACCAAGGCAACGAUGGGUAGGGGUCCUGAGAGGGAGAUCCCCCACACUGGUACUGAGACACGGACCAGACUCCUACGGGAGGCAGCAGUGAGGAAUAUUGGUCAAUGGGCGCAAGCCUGAACCAGCCAUGCCGCGUGCAGGAUGACGGUCCUAUGGAUUGUAAACUGCUUUUGUACAGGAAGAAACAGUUCUACGUGUAGAACCUUGACGGUACUGUAAGAAUAAGGAUCGGCUAACUCCGUGCCAGCAGCCGCGGUAAUACGGAGGAUCCAAGCGUUAUCCGGAAUCAUUGGGUUUAAAGGGUCCGUAGGCGGUUUUGUAAGUCAGUGGUGAAAGCCCAUCGCUCAACGGUGGAACGGCCAUUGAUACUGCAAGACUUGAAUUAUUGGGAAGUAACUAGAAUAUGUAGUGUAGCGGUGAAAUGCUUAGAGAUUACAUGGAAUACCAAUUGCGAAGGCAGGUUACUACCAAUAUAUUGA